Non-coding RNA from Saimiri boliviensis boliviensis (Bolivian squirrel monkey), 1128 nucleotides. NCBI's taxonomy places the organism in Eukaryota, Metazoa, Chordata, Mammalia, Primates, Cebidae. The record is from RefSeq and is a predicted model, not a curated record.
CGCAGGGAGCCCGGUCUCCUGGGAGAGGCGUGGUCCGGAACUCCAACCCAAGGGCUUGCCUGGCCGCCCCUCCUGCGGCUACGCACUACUCUGUCUACUGCUGCUUUGCCCGCAUCCCUGAGCCAGGGACAGAUUUUAUUGCCGAACCCGGGCUGGAGCCGGGCGGCCCCAGGAGCCGCGCAACAGCGCAAGCGGGUUGGAUACCAGUAGCCGAUUCCAGGGCGACCACCGAAGCAGGAGCAGAGGGGUUGCUCACACCCGAGAUGUGAGGCUCCAGGAGCUCCAACCCAGAGUUGCCCAGGCCUGAAGGCGGGAGAGGCUCAGUCGCACCCUGCUUCCCCCACUCCGAGAUUUUAAGUACAGUCCGCUUGAAAUCCCUGGAAUGCGCUUUCUUCUGGCUCCUAUCCGGAGCCAGGACCAACUGGGGCAGGAAGGGUUCCUCGGACCAGCCCCUGCCAAGCCUAGGCUUCCAGGUCUCAGCCCGGCCCUUAGCCCAGCUUUUAGCUGAGCCGGGCUGCGUGUGUGCCUCUCCUCCACCUAGGGCAGGGGGUGAAGAGGAAGCCAGAGGGGGCUGUCUGCAAAUGACCUCCUCGAGUUACCUCCUCGGGCUGUCGUGAGGAGGCGGGCCGCUUCGUCUGGAUGCUUGUCACCGCGAAGGCGCCAAAGAAGGGUUGCGCAGCCGUGCUGCGUAACCGAGGGUGUCCGAGCGAAGCCCAGCCCCUGGGGCUCUGGUGACCGGGGGUCGCUGUGCGCACUGAGCAGAACUGGAGCUCGAAGCCGGAGAGCGACCCUCAAAAACAUGCCUGAAAGCCGGAAAGAUGAACCCGACCCAGAGAGCGCCAAGACUGCAGACCCUGGGGACCGAGGACACGCUCACCACGCUGGUGGGGGCUGGGGGGAGGGCGCGGGCGGUGGCGUGCGGGGAAGCGCCCGGGGAACUCCUGGCUCUGCGAGUUUUAGCGGAAAUAGGCGACAUCUCCGGCAACACUUGGAAGUACAGGAAGUGGGGAAGGAGCGCUAUCUGGUGGAUCAUUGUGUUAGUGACACUCAGACCUGUGCCAGGGACCUUGAGACAAUUUACUUGGUCUGGAAAAAUCUGAGUUAAAAAAAAAAAAAAAGAUGCUUCAA